RNAcentral lists this ribosomal RNA (1530 nucleotides) under Citrobacter koseri. Its description in RNAcentral is "bacterial SSU rRNA". It matches the Rfam family "Bacterial small subunit ribosomal RNA". Lineage: Bacteria; Pseudomonadati; Pseudomonadota; Gammaproteobacteria; Enterobacterales; Enterobacteriaceae. The record is from RNAcentral.
AGAGUUUGAUCAUGGCUCAGAUUGAACGCUGGCGGCAGGCCUAACACAUGCAAGUCGAACGGUAACAGGAAGCAGCUUGCUGCUUUGCUGACGAGUGGCGGACGGGUGAGUAAUGUCUGGGAAACUGCCUGAUGGAGGGGGAUAACUACUGGAAACGGUAGCUAAUACCGCAUAACGUCGCAAGACCAAAGAGGGGGACCUUCGGGCCUCUUGCCAUCAGAUGUGCCCAGAUGGGAUUAGCUUGUUGGUGGGGUAACGGCUCACCAAGGCGACGAUCCCUAGCUGGUCUGAGAGGAUGACCAGCCACACUGGAACUGAGACACGGUCCAGACUCCUACGGGAGGCAGCAGUGGGGAAUAUUGCACAAUGGGCGCAAGCCUGAUGCAGCCAUGCCGCGUGUAUGAAGAAGGCCUUCGGGUUGUAAAGUACUUUCAGCGGGGAGGAAGGUGUUGUGGUUAAUAACCGCAGCAAUUGACGUUACCCGCAGAAGAAGCACCGGCUAACUCCGUGCCAGCAGCCGCGGUAAUACGGAGGGUGCAAGCGUUAAUCGGAAUUACUGGGCGUAAAGCGCACGCAGGCGGUCUGUUAAGUCAGAUGUGAAAUCCCCGGGCUCAACCUGGGAACUGCAUCUGAUACUGGCAGGCUUGAGUCUCGUAGAGGGGGGUAGAAUUCCAGGUGUAGCGGUGAAAUGCGUAGAGAUCUGGAGGAAUACCGGUGGCGAAGGCGGCCCCCUGGACGAAGACUGACGCUCAGGUGCGAAAGCGUGGGGAGCAAACAGGAUUAGAUACCCUGGUAGUCCACGCCGUAAACGAUGUCGACUUGGAGGUUGUGCCCUUGAGGCGUGGCUUCCGGAGCUAACGCGUUAAGUCGACCGCCUGGGGAGUACGGCCGCAAGGUUAAAACUCAAAUGAAUUGACGGGGGCCCGCACAAGCGGUGGAGCAUGUGGUUUAAUUCGAUGCAACGCGAAGAACCUUACCUGGUCUUGACAUCCACGGAAGUUUUCAGAGAUGAGAAUGUGCCUUCGGGAACCGUGAGACAGGUGCUGCAUGGCUGUCGUCAGCUCGUGUUGUGAAAUGUUGGGUUAAGUCCCGCAACGAGCGCAACCCUUAUCCUUUGUUGCCAGCGGUUAGGCCGGGAACUCAAAGGAGACUGCCAGUGAUAAACUGGAGGAAGGUGGGGAUGACGUCAAGUCAUCAUGGCCCUUACGACCAGGGCUACACACGUGCUACAAUGGCAUAUACAAAGAGAAGCGACCUCGCGAGAGCAAGCGGACCUCAUAAAGUAUGUCGUAGUCCGGAUUGGAGUCUGCAACUCGACUCCAUGAAGUCGGAAUCGCUAGUAAUCGUGGAUCAGAAUGCCACGGUGAAUACGUUCCCGGGCCUUGUACACACCGCCCGUCACACCAUGGGAGUGGGUUGCAAAAGAAGUAGGUAGCUUAACCUUCGGGAGGGCGCUUACCACUUUGUGAUUCAUGACUGGGGUGAAGUCGUAACAAGGUAACCGUAGGGGAACCUGCGGUUGGAUCACCU